GAUGCCCCCAAGCAGACAAGACCAGAAGGCAGCCAGCCCGAGAGAACCUGAGCCUUCACCCAGCAAGGUCUGUGGCUGCAGGCGGCCACUCCCGACCCGAGCCCCGCCCUGUGCUGCCCCUCCUUCAAGUGUUCCAGCCACAGAUACCGAAAAGGCACCAGGGAGAGGAGGAGGGAAAAGACACGCAGAUGGCACAGAGUGGAUGUGGCCUCUCUAAGUAGUCUGAAUCCGCCAAAAUAAUCAAAGACAGAACAGUCAUCGGCAGAGCACUUCACACAGGAAGCAUCUAGGAAGGGCUUGGUCGGACGUCUGAACGGAGACUGCUGUGCCGGCCCGAGUCAGUUUGCUCCGUGGUUAGAGCAUGGCCUGCGGACCAAGUCACGGGUUCGAUUCCAGUCAAGGGCACGGACCCUGAUUGCAGCUCAGUCCCCGGUCCUGGCUGCGGUUGUGCAGGAGGCAACCAGUCGAUGUGUCCCUCUCACGAUGAUGUUUCUCUCUCUCGCCCUUUCUCUCCCUCCCACUCUAU
Molossus molossus (Pallas's mastiff bat) is the source of this 526-nucleotide long non-coding RNA. RefSeq lists it as uncharacterized. The transcript is spliced from 3 exons. Lineage: Eukaryota; Metazoa; Chordata; Mammalia; Chiroptera; Molossidae. The record is from RefSeq and is a predicted model, not a curated record.